Molecule: ribosomal RNA, 759 nt
Filed under: uncultured archaeon
Lineage: Archaea
Description: bacterial SSU rRNA
Rfam family: Archaeal small subunit ribosomal RNA
Source: RNAcentral
GGAUAACCUGCCCUUGGGUCCGGCAUAACCCCGGGAAACUGGGGAUAAUUCCGGAUAACGCACAUAUGCUGGAAUGCUUUAUGCGUAAAAUGGAUUCGUCUGCCCAAGGAUGGGUCUGCGGCCUAUCAGGUAGUAGUGGGUGUAAUGUACCUACUAGCCUACAACGGGUACGGGUUGUGAGAGCAAGAGCCCGGAGAUGGAUUCUGAGACAUGAAUCCAGGCCCUACGGGGCGCAGCAGGCGCGAAAACUUUACAAUGCGGGAAACCGUGAUAAGGGGACACCGAGUGCCAGCAUCAUAUGCUGGCUGUCCAGAUGUGUAAAAUACAUCUGUUAGCAAGGGCCGGGCAAGACCGGUGCCAGCCGCCGCGGUAACACCGGCGGCCCGAGUGGUGAUCGUGAUUAUUGGGUCUAAAGGGUCCGUAGCCGGUUUGGUCAGUCCUCCGGGAAAUCUGAUGGCUCAACCAUUAGGCUUUCGGGGGAUACUGCCAGGCUUGGAACCGGGAGAGGUAAGAGGUACUACAGGGGUAGGAGUGAAAUCUUGCAAUCCCUGUGGGACCACCUGUGGCGAAGGCGUCUUACCAGAACGGGUUCGACGGUGAGGGACGAAAGCUGGGGGCACGAACCGGAUUAGAUACCCGGGUAGUCCCAGCCGUAAACGAUGCUCGCUAGGUGUCAGGCAUGGCGCGACCGUGUCUGGUGCCGCAGGGAAGCCGUGAAGCGAGCCACCUGGGAAGUACGGCCGCAAGGCUGAAACUUAA